UCCCCGAUAGCUCAGCGGUAGAGCGGGUGGCUGUUAACCACUAGGUCGUAAGUUCGAAUCUUACUCGGGGAG
This 72-nucleotide transfer RNA is filed under the name bacterium. RNAcentral's name for it is "tRNA-Asn". It matches the Rfam family "tRNA". From Rfam's summary of the family: Transfer RNA (tRNA) molecules are approximately 80 nucleotides in length. The record is from RNAcentral. RNAcentral also lists the same sequence under 4 other names.